This is a long non-coding RNA of Lytechinus variegatus (green sea urchin), 3427 nucleotides long. RefSeq lists it as uncharacterized. The transcript is spliced from 4 exons. The record is from RefSeq and is a predicted model, not a curated record. Lineage: Eukaryota; Metazoa; Echinodermata; Echinoidea; Temnopleuroida; Toxopneustidae.
UUCCGGGCGUAAAUGUAAAAAAAAAUAAGGGCAAUUCACCCAUCUCCAAGAAAUAAAAGUUACUUGAAAUUUUCAGCCCAAAACCCUCCUCAUAAUGAUACAUUUGUGGUGUUAUAUACUCUGCGUUUUACCCAAGUCUACACAGCUUGAUAAAGCAAGCUAGGUUAAUAUUUUUCAGAUAUUAAAGUAUUUUUUUAUCUAAUGAUAAUUUUGAUAGCAUAUAAUUUUUUAGGAUCUCAUACACACUGCUUAGGCAUGUGAGAAGCAUAAACCGACAUUCACCAUGUUAACUCUGGUCAAUCUUAAAGUAACAUAUAACACAAAGUUUAUAUACUACACAUUGUUUAGCGUAGUUUGUCUUUUCACAUAAUGUUUUAAGUAGCCAAACAAAAUGUAGUAUCAAGGUGACGUCAUAUCGGCUUUAAAUUAUGUUCAGUCAAUUCUACGCCCUAAAUUACCAUGGUACAUGUUAAAGUAAAAAUAUAACACGGAAUAUAAUUUUGGCGCACUUUCUACUCAUUCUGGCCCACUGUGCAGCGGUGCGAUAAGCACAAUUACACAUUUGUUCAGAUGAUGGCCUAACCUGAAGCGGUUUAUUGAUCUGCUGAGAACUUGAAAGACAAGAUCAAUCCUUCAUCAAACAACUGCCAUUGGAAUGGUUCAUUUCUAAGUCUUGCAUUGCUGUCGGAUCCUACAAAGCAUUUCAUGGGCCCAAUUGUCUGGGGACAAUAGAGACUACAUCCAUUGUUAUUCACCUAGUGUUUGUCGUAGUUGAUGCUGUGUACGCUGGUGAAACUGCCAUUCGAAUGAUUUCUUUCUUCGUGAAGUCUUGCCUUGGCGUCAUCCAAUCGACAUGAAAGUUCUUCGAGAGCUGGAAACGCGCGAAGGUCUUUGUAUCUGCCUCAAUCAUGUCAAUAAAGGGACUUUCACAAUUGCUCGUCCGAUAGUUUGCGAUCAUUUGGUCACAACAUAAUAUGUUGCACAGAAUCGCAACGGGUGUAAGCAGUCGCAUUACCAAUUGUGAAAGGGGCUUAACGUACUCUGGUUUUCUUAGAAAUGUGUACCGGACAGUUGAACAUUUGCAUCCGCUACUAACCCCUCCAGGGAAAGAAAACAUCACGGAUAAAACAGCAGAAUAUGUAGAAUGAGGCAUCUCCAGAUCUGUCGCCUUAUUCACUGAGCUAGCAGGAAUAGUUGAAAGCAAUGGGUUUCAUAGCUCUCCAGGAGUAUUGGCUAUCUAUUUUCUGACUAAAUAAACCGAUGCCAUUUGGGAACACACGCUCGAGAUUUUGACGGAAUAAAGCCAUAUUUUGGAUUCCUUCGCUGCAAGCAAUGGCGGUGACAUCAGUUACGGUGGAGCAAUCUUAAAGCGUGGACGUUGGCUGCAGGGAUCCGAAUGCAGCUCGAGGUGGCAGCAGUUCAUCAUUGACGUCAUCGGGUCGUCUCAUUGUUGUGAAGGAAUGUCCUUGAACAGUUUCAUCUUGCGGGGACCACGACAGCUGAUCCUCAUAUUGCAGACAGUACGUGCAAUGAUUGAGCCAGAAUACAUCAGGACUACAACCUUGGUUUGAGCUGUUGAUUGAGCCAGAGAACGUCAGUACAGCAAUCUUGGUUUGAGCCGACCUUCGGAACAAGUUGGCCUCUCCAUUCUGAGGGGUUUUAUACCUAGCCAAUCGUUAAGGCAUAUUGAAAUGACGAGUCCAUUCUGGACAGCUUCGAUGACAAUGGUCCGUAUUCCGAUAGCGAGGUUUAAGUUAACCCUGGUCCAAUUGUGGUAAUAAAUCCUCAAAAAGUUAAACUCGUGCAGGGGGUAGUUUAAGCCUGGUUUAAAUCCAACAAAUCAUGGCCAACAAUUUUUUUUUAGAAUUUACGCCUAUAUUGCUUUACAAGCUACUUUCUCACUUUUUAACCGAUUUUCAUGAAAUUUGGAACACACAUUGUUCGCAAGAUAAGGAGGUGUAAGAAUUUUUUCCCCUUUUUUUGAGAAUCUGUUGCCAUGGUAACAGUAUAUUAUGGCCAAAAUGUUGCCGUUUAAAAUACUUUCAUCAGUUUUCUACCAAUUCUCAAGAAAGUUGGCUCACACAUAAGUCUUAAGGUGAAGAUUUGCAAGACACAUUUUUGCAUGUGUCGGAAAUUGUGUUGCCAUGGUAAUGGUAUAUUAGGGCAAAAAACUAUGUAUAAAUAUUGCUGUUCCAACUACUUCCUUAGUUCUAACCUAUUCUCAUGAAAUUUGGCACAAACAUUAGUCUUGAUGUGAAGAUUUGCAAAACAUAUUUUAUGGCUCUAUAAAAAACUAAUGUUGCCAUGGUAACAAAUCAAAUAUAAAAUUUAUAUGAAAAUCUUGUGAUUUGAAAAACUUUAUCAGUUUCAGACUGGUCAAUUCCUUUAAAAAUUUUGUACAUACAUUAAUGCUGAGGUGAAGAUGUCUAUUUUUGCCCGUAUCAGAAAUUGUGUUGCCAUGGUAACAACAUAUUAAAUAACAAAAAUAAGGUGAAAAUUUUGUAGUUCGAACUCCUUCAUUUUUUUUCAACCAAUGCUCAUAAAAUCUGGCACACACAUUAGUCUUGAGUUAAAGAUGUGGAAGACAUAUUUUUGUAUGUAUCAGAAAUCGUGUUGCCAUGGUAACAAUAUAUUACAUAAUGAAAUUAGGUGAAAAUCUGAACUCCUUCACUAGUUUUCAACCAAUUCUUAUAAACGUUGGCUCACACAUUGGUUUUAGGUAUAGAUUUGCAAGACAUAUAUUUGUGUGUGUUGGAAACUGUGUUGCCAUGGUAACAUCAUAUUAAAUCAAUAAAUGUGUAAACACAUCUUGUGGACUGAACCUAUAGGUUUAUGAAAUUUAGAACACAUAGGUUUUGACUUGAGGUAAAGCAAUCAUCAAAAGACAAAAUAGUGUUUGUAUGGUAACUACACACACCAAAAUAAGAUUAAUACAAUGGUCAAUGCUAAGUACUGAGUAAGUGUUGUUUGGCUACACAGAGAACUACAUGUAGCUGUAGGCUUUGUUCUAGUUAUAAGGGGGUGCUUGACCUCUAGAUCUCGAACUACAGUCCCUAGCUUUAGAUCUAGGCCUAGAUAUAGAUCCUUUAGAUCUAGUAAAAGAAAUAGUCCUACGUUAGAUCUCUACUAGCCUACUUCCUUUCCAGGCCUAACGUUAGAUGAGUAGAUCUACUGUAGACUAGCCUACAUUUACGUUUUUAAAAUUUAGAAUCUAUAUUGAGAGUCUACAAAUCUCUAGGUCUAGACCUAUUACAUGUAGACCUAGAUUGAUAUACAUGUAGAUCUAGUUCUAGGUCUAGAUAGGGUUUAACUUUUAGUCUAAAUAGUUAUUUAGUCUAGAUCUAGGCCAGCGUUAUUCUAGAUCAUACAGUCAAUACGAGACUAGAUUAGUCAGUCCUAACGUUAGGGCUACCGGCUAGGCUAGAAA